UCUAAGGGGUGCGCAUUCGCUCUGUAGUAAUAUGGAGAGGAAAGUCCGGACGUCAUAGGGCAGGAUUCCUCAUGAAAGUGGGGGCAUCUUGGGUUAUAUCCCAAGAUGACGGAUAGUGUCACAGAGAAUAUACCGCUCUUCGGAGUAAGGGUGAAAAGGUGAGGUAAGAGCUUACCGCUUGCAAGGCAACUUGUAAGGCAGGAAAAACCCAAUUCGACGCAAGACUGAAUAGGAAAUCAGGUUAGCCCGCCUAACGAUUUCGGGUAAGUCGCACUUUGCUUCGCAAAGAAUGAGGUUUUUCCUCAUUAGAUAAAUGGAUGCGACUGCUUCGGCAGGACAAAAUCCGGCUUAUAUCCCCUUAGAUCUU
RNAcentral lists this RNase P RNA (367 nucleotides) under Verrucomicrobia bacterium GWC2_42_7. Its description in RNAcentral is "RNase P RNA component class A". It matches the Rfam family "Bacterial RNase P class A". Rfam says of the family: Ribonuclease P (RNase P) is a ubiquitous endoribonuclease, found in archaea, bacteria and eukarya as well as chloroplasts and mitochondria. Its best characterised activity is the generation of mature 5'-ends of tRNAs by cleaving the 5'-leader elements of precursor-tRNAs. Lineage: Bacteria; Pseudomonadati; Verrucomicrobiota. The record is from RNAcentral.